CGACGUCAUGGGCUUGAUCCACAGGUAACGAGGAGCUGGAACUGAGUCCGUGAGAGGGUCGGCCCUCCCUCCAUAUCCACGGGCGCCCGUCCAGGGACCCACCUAACGCUGGUCAAAAAUAUCAGGAAAAGAAUCGCAUCUGUACUGAGCGCGUGCAGACUUUGUUUUUUGUCAUUAUUCCCUAACAACCCAGCGUAACAGGGAUCUACCAGCACGCACACGGCACUGGGAAUGACACAACCCAGGAUGACUUAACGAAUAGCGGCGGGAACUCGUAGGUCGUGUGCCAACACUAUAUCCAUUAAUCCAAGGGACUUGAGCAUCGAUGGAUUCCAGCAUCUCGAGCCUGUCCACCCGGCCACAGACGGUGACUGUGUGUGUGUUAAAGUGUCCUUUGGCAACUUCAGUAAGAAUCUGGAGGAGCGGUCUUCACUUCGCCAUCUAUGAGAUCAGUCUCGGUCCAGAUGUAACUCGGAUAAAUGACGUGUGCACCGUGACGCCUACGAGAAGCCCAGAGCUGACUCAAAGGCUGUGGAGAGAAAUACGCACCUGUCCUCGGGGAGGGAGGGCCCGGUGUGCAGGGUCACGGGAACACGCCAACCCACUCCGCCGUCUCUCCACUCGGCGGUGGUGCCUCAUCUGCAAGACUUCACUGAAGUGCCCUUCACUAGACGUGGGGAUGGCAAACCAGACCCCGUGACCCCUGUUCUAUCACAUUCUAGAAGGAGAAGGCACAUGGACAAACUAAGAGCUAGACCUUGUCAGGUAUGGUUACUUCAGGUUGAUGGGGUGGGAAGAUCUCCGUUGUUUUAAGUGUAAACUGAACGACUAGAAGAUUCCAGGCACACGAUGAUUUGAGAAACAGCCUUCCAGGAAGAAGGGGCUGCUCGUGCAAAGGGCCUGAGGUGGGAAUGAGUCUGGUGUGUUUUAGGAUUUAAGGUCAGUGGGGCUGGGGUGUGGGGAGCAAGAAAUGGGUGUCAGGGAUGUUGACAGGAGCCUGUUGAGAAACCUGGUUAUUGUGGGCCUGCAGACAAUGCAGCAUCGGGGAAUCUGUACAAAAAAGCAAUUUACCUCCAGUUAGCAGACCCACAAGCAAAGAAAGCUUUGGCCAUGUUGUCACAGAGUCAAAGGAAUAUGAACUCACACGUCUGAAGUUGUAACGGACUGUCCAGGGCUUGUGUUUCAUGCUUUAUGGUUGCCUGCUUUAGCCAACGUCAGCCAACCCCUGCAGGUCUCACAGGCUUAGAUUCUAGGACUUCUGCUCUUCUUAAGUGCUUUGCUGCAAAUGCCAACACCAAUUAAUAGUUCUACAGCCACAAUUAAUAAUCCUACGUGCGUUAUAAAGAAUGACAGUUUCUUUGCGCCAACACCACACAAACGCUUUCAUGGUGUGUACGCACUUGUACGCACCGAGCAUGACUGGAAUGUCUUCCCCAAGGACUUGAAGUUUAACUCAUAAUGACCUGAGAGAGAAAAUACGCCUUAUUUGGGGAAGUUCUGUUUGAUCUAGCUGUGGAAUCCAGACAGAUGGAGCGUGUGUUUAUUAACCAGCCUCCACAGAAAUGCUUGGCCCUUGGAGAGAUGUCAGAGCUGUACGUUUCUUGCUGCAGGUGCUCAACCAUCCCGGUGAGCUAGACCUCCAGACAGAAGCAAGAUUGGGUAGGAUCGGCCAUGAGCAAGGGCUUCGGUCACAAGGGCUCUGUUCCCCCUCUGUGGGCUUGCCAAUUGCAGAACUGGGAUGCCACCAAAAUCUCUGUUGCUGAUCAUCUGUCCAUAAAAACCCACGUCCUGGGCUGGGGAUGUAGCUCAGUUGGCAGGGUGCUUGCCUCUCAUGCACAAGGCCCUGGGUUCGAUCCCCAGCACCACCAAAAAGAAAGGAAGAAAGAAAAGCUCAUGUCCCUUUCCUCUAUUCCAGUAAGCCUUCUUCCAAGAAUCCCUUUUAAAUUUUCCCACCUUAAAGUGAUCAUUUCCUUCAGUAUUUUUAAGAAGAUAUUAUUCAGAUAAUAUUGAUAUUUGAUAUAUUCAAAUAAUACUGAUACUUAAAAAUAUCAAAUGUAACACCUACAGGAAUAAGAGUCUAUAAUUGGAGUCCUGGACCCAACACUCAGAGCAGGAAAAACUCACCCAUAACUUGCCCCUACGUCAAACACUUGGCAAAGACGGUUCUGAGCCUUCUCCACUCACUCCCCUGAACCCAGAGGUAACUACAAGUUUAAAUUUUGUGUUUAUCAUGCCAUUGCUUUUUUUUAAGUUGUGUGAUUUCUUUCCAAAUGUACUUUUUAAAUUAUUAUUAUUGUUUUUUUUACAUAGUAAAUAAACUUUAUUUGUCUGUUCCUCCAAGAUGACACUGCCAGUCACAGAUUCGUGUACAAUACCAUUAUGUAUUGACUAUUUACAAUUUACAGUAGUAUUUUUUCCUCUGAAAAAUAUAAGUACAAAAGCUAAGUAAACAAUGA
This 2456-nucleotide long non-coding RNA is filed under the name Marmota monax (woodchuck). The stretch from base 1796 to 1868 matches the Rfam family "tRNA". The record is from RNAcentral. Lineage: Eukaryota; Metazoa; Chordata; Mammalia; Rodentia; Sciuridae.